This 320-nucleotide unclassified non-coding RNA is filed under the name Penaeus chinensis. RNAcentral's name for it is "pro-resilin-like, transcript variant X1". Lineage: Eukaryota; Metazoa; Arthropoda; Malacostraca; Decapoda; Penaeidae. The record is from RNAcentral.
UAGAUGCCUAAAGAUUUUCCAUGCUACUGUUCUAUAUUUGUUAUAUCAUAAGGUUUGACAUCCUUUUUCAAAGGAAGAAGCAAUUAAGUGAAUAAUUUCUCAUCAGGUCCUCAUCCUCCUCGGUCUGGCAGCCAUCGUCGCUGCAGACAGCCGUGAAACUUAUGCCUACCGCGCCCCCAGGGCAUCUUCUGAGGAAUCCUUCGAGUCCACCGAAGCCAAGUACAACUUCAACUGGGCCGUCAGCGAUGACUCCUCAAGCAACGAGUUCGGACACCAGGAGGCCCGUGACGGCGACGACACUCAAGGAUCGUACUACGUGC